RNAcentral lists this long non-coding RNA (1260 nucleotides) under Canis lupus familiaris (dog). RNAcentral's name for it is "lncRNA (ENSCAFG00030016370.1, ENSCAFG00040014761.1)". Lineage: Eukaryota; Metazoa; Chordata; Mammalia; Carnivora; Canidae. The record is from RNAcentral.
CAAAAAUGAAAUUUUAUUAUUAAAAAAAUGUAUUUUUUCCUUCUCAACUUAGAUUCAGCUAAACCACUGGAAGUAUAUUGAGUUCUUAGAGAGAAUUGAAGGAACCACUGAGCUGGGAACCCUAAAUAAUAUGGAAAUUGGAAUGACAUGGCCUAAGUUCUAAGGCAACUUUCAUAAGAUAUUCACACAGGUGGGAGAAGAAGGUUGCCAAUUUGUCCACUACUGCAAGCCAGCUUGUUUCCUAGCUUCUGUAGUUGCCUCCAGGGAGAGCUAAAUGCGAGAGGAGAUUAGCCUUAAAGUCUCUACAUGCUCAAGACAGGUUUUUCCAGAACUAGAUAAAAGCUACUUACAAGAUCAGUACCUGGGUCCUGGAGUCACUUCAAAUGAGAGCAUCAUUACCAAAGAAUUCAUGGUAUAGGGCUUGAAUAAAUGAGAUCAGAAGUCAAGAAACAGAAUCAGACUCCAAAGCCUACAAGGUAACCAGUGAGCAAAUUAGGUUAGUGGUAUUAGACAACAGAAGAAUCAAAGAAUGAGAGAUUCAACCAUCAGGAAACAAAAAUAGUGAAGUACAUAUCAGUAAAAUAAUUUUUUUAGAACAAAUACCUACUGUUCAUUGCAACUUUCAGUUGAGUAUGGAAGAUACAGCUAGACACACUACUCAGUAAUUUGGAGAAAGGUACUUAAAGACCAAACCCGAGAGAUGUAAAUAUUUCCAGAAUAAUCAGAAUGGGACAGUGAGCUUAUUUGAAGUUUAAGUCAUUCUCGCAUACCUCCAGACAUAUGGCUAUUGUAAAUAUAAAAAUAAAUAAAUAAAAAUAAUGUUCCACACAGGAAAUCAAGGUGUAGUUUUCAAGCUGCUUCACUAUGCUACUAUAAAUAAUUCAUAGCUAACAUCUUCCAACCCCAAACAGAAAUUUAAAGUUAAUGAUAUUAUUCAGGAUGAAAAAUUCAUUAUUAAUUUCCUAGUAAUCAUAUCUAAAGACAAUGAUCAGAAAUUUCCUCAGGAGUUACAUUUCAGCAUUCCAUAUUAAAACUCACUGGUCCAACCCUGGAAUCAAAUGAAGGCUUGUUUACCUAAAUACUUUAUUUCUAAAGGCAUAAUGGCUUUAGCUAUCCUCAAAAUAACAUAGGAACUAACACAGUUGAGUCGUUAUUAAAUUUAUUCUGUUAUUAACUAGUGCUACAGGCAUUCAAAAAUGAUAUUUUGAUACAAUUAGCAACUAGAAACAAUUGCUUCUUUGGAAAAAAAGUAGAAUAUCA